GGGCUUAUAACUCAGUGGCUAGAGUGGAAGAUUGCAGAUCUUCUGGUCCCGUGUUCGAAUCACGGUGGGCCCU
Non-coding RNA from Fennellomyces sp. T-0311, 73 nucleotides. The record is from the annotation of a GenBank genome assembly. Lineage: Eukaryota; Fungi; Mucoromycota; Mucoromycetes; Mucorales; Lichtheimiaceae.